RNAcentral lists this transfer RNA (58 nucleotides) under Lycostomus sp. UPOL LF0340. RNAcentral's name for it is "tRNA-Leu". Lineage: Eukaryota; Metazoa; Arthropoda; Insecta; Coleoptera; Lycidae. RNAcentral also lists the same sequence under 4 other names. The record is from RNAcentral.
UGUGGCAGAAUAGUGCAAUAAAUUUAAGCUUUAUUUAUAAAGUUGAUCUUUCUUUAGA